Molecule: long non-coding RNA, 572 nt
Organism: Oreochromis aureus
Lineage: Eukaryota; Metazoa; Chordata; Actinopteri; Cichliformes; Cichlidae
Source: Ensembl
CUGGACUUAUUUUUCGUUUAUAUGGGCCGAUGAUGCUGGUCGAUGUGGAAAAAAAUAACUGAGUUGUUUGGUGGUGGAGCUACAACAGAGGGCAGCUAUCCACCGGUGUGUGACAGAAAGGACAUGCCGCGAACGAGACAUACAAGGCGGUGAGGCUACCGCCGAUCGACCGGUGUUUGCUAACGCGGAGGUCAAUCAUGGAUCAGGGAAAGCGAAGGCAGGAGCGUGAGGUGAACUGAAUUUCAGCAGGCACACCUGAAGGUCAAGGUGCAGGCCACAGUGGCAAUCUACCAUAACAAAGAGAAGUAGGAGGGAUAUGAAGAGCAGAAAACAAAUUGGUAUUGUAAUUAAGAAGUUCUUUACACGGAAUCUAUUCUCAACACCACCAAACAGUGUGAGGAGAUCAGUGUGAAGCUCCAGUGUGAAGCCCGAGGUCCUGAUAACAUCCCUGGAUGGCCACUGAGAGACUGUGUGGCAGAAAGCAGAGAUGUCUUCACAGACAUUUUUAAUACAUCACUGAGCCAGGCUGUCAUUCCCACAUGCCUCAAAGCCUCCACCAUCAUUCCUGCACC